UACUUCAUGGUGUAGUGGAAUCACAUCUGUCUAACAUACAUAAGGUCCCGAAAUCGAAACUGGGUGAAGUCA
This 72-nucleotide transfer RNA is filed under the name Pleodorina starrii. RNAcentral's name for it is "tRNA-Val". It matches the Rfam family "tRNA". From Rfam's summary of the family: Transfer RNA (tRNA) molecules are approximately 80 nucleotides in length. Their secondary structure includes four short double-helical elements and three loops (D, anti-codon, and T loops). Further hydrogen bonds mediate the characteristic L-shaped molecular structure. tRNAs have two regions of fundamental functional importance: the anti-codon, which is responsible for specific mRNA codon recognition, and the 3' end, to which the tRNAs corresponding amino acid is attached (by aminoacyl-tRNA synthetases). tRNAs cope with the degeneracy of the genetic code in two manners: having more than one tRNA (with a specific anti-codon) for a particular amino acid; and 'wobble' base-pairing, i.e. permitting non-standard base-pairing at the 3rd anti-codon position. The record is from RNAcentral. Lineage: Eukaryota; Viridiplantae; Chlorophyta; Chlorophyceae; Chlamydomonadales; Volvocaceae.